Lineus longissimus is the source of this 649-nucleotide long non-coding RNA. RefSeq lists it as uncharacterized. The transcript has 3 exons. Lineage: Eukaryota; Metazoa; Nemertea; Pilidiophora; Heteronemertea; Lineidae. The record is from RefSeq and is a predicted model, not a curated record.
GCCGAGUACGAGAACCCGGACCCAAAGAACUGUCAGGUUGUGUCCAACAGUUCCCUUGCCUUCCCUGCAUGCUGCCCAAAGGUGGAUUGUCCAGGAAAACAGAAACGGCAGCAGGAGCCCGUCCGAGAUUGUUUUGACAGUGGAUCCCCUUUCGCCUGUAAAGUGUGGAAGGAACUUCACGGAUGUCAGACAACCAAUCGGCUUUAUAACUUCACCAGGGACCACUGUAAACUCACAUGCGAAAUCUGCUUUCCCGUCACGUAGACAUGGUAAAGAGGCAACUUGAUAUGUCACAGAGAGCAAUCUAUAGAGACAAGAAUAGCAUUAUUAUAGAUGAGGAACAUGAGACUCCGACUAGAGGAUCCGUGGUAAGCGAAGUGCGGCCGUCUCGGCCUGGAUGUGACUGUCGCUGUCUCGUCGUCCUGGGUCGUCCUGCAGUGUCGCCACCGGGGAAGCCAUGGGAUAAUGGAACAUAUUUCAUCUGACCAGCAUUUGUUAUCCUGGAUCCAACGGACUGCUUCGUUUGACCACCUUACUUUGUAAAAUCUGUCCAUCCGUGUGUUGGUCUGACGAUAAUAUUAUUGUUUGGUCUUCAGUUCGUUUAUCAUUGGGGAAAUUGCGUACCAUUGUAUUUCAAAAGAGUAUGUCC